AAAGGGAGACCUAAUUCAGGUAAAAGACGAAAAAAAAGUAGUCGCUACCAAGAAUCAAUCCCAAAAGGUCGGAGCGAGGCGAAAUUGGCUUUCAAACUAGGUUCUGGGUUCAAACAAGACCUGAAUCAGGAACAAGGGCUAUUAGCUCAGGUGGUUAGAGCGCACCCCUGAUAAGGGUGAGGUCCCUGGUUCGAGUCCAGGAUGGCCCACCUGCACAGGUGGCAAAAACAAGAGAAGCGAGGAAUCAGCACCUUAUCUUACUUAUAUAGUAAGAGAGAAUGCUGGCUCUGAGUAAAGAGUCCAGAGGAACCUUGAAGACUGCAUAGAGCUAGGUGAAAAAGCCAAAAAAGAAGACCGCAAG
RNAcentral lists this transfer RNA (361 nucleotides) under uncultured Microcystis sp. Its description in RNAcentral is "partial 16S-23S ribosomal RNA intergenic spacer". The stretch from base 136 to 209 matches the Rfam family "tRNA". The record is from RNAcentral. Lineage: Bacteria; Bacillati; Cyanobacteriota; Cyanophyceae; Chroococcales; Microcystaceae.